UACGGAGGGGGCUAGCGUUGUUCGGAAUCACUGGGCGUAAAGGGCGCGUAGGCGGCUGUUCAAGUCGGGGGUGAAAGCCUGUGGCUCAACCACAGAAUUGCCUUCGAUACUGGACGGCUCGAGACCGGAAGAGGUCAGUGGAACUGCGAGUGUAGAGGUGAAAUUCGUAGAUAUUCGCAAGAACACCAGUGGCGAAGGCGGCUGACUGGUCCGGUUCUGACGCUGAGGCGCGAAAGCGUGGGGAGCAAACAGG
Molecule: ribosomal RNA, 253 nt
Filed under: uncultured bacterium
Lineage: Bacteria
Description: partial 16S ribosomal RNA
Rfam family: Bacterial small subunit ribosomal RNA
Source: RNAcentral